CAAAGGUUCAUUUGGGUUUUCCCCUAAGAUGUUAUAGAAAAACCAGAAUGAACUUUUUUG
This 60-nucleotide microRNA precursor is filed under the name Bos taurus (domestic cattle). Its description in RNAcentral is "microRNA bta-mir-2285cy precursor". Lineage: Eukaryota; Metazoa; Chordata; Mammalia; Artiodactyla; Bovidae. The record is from miRBase by way of RNAcentral.